Molecule: ribosomal RNA, 46 nt
Filed under: Curcuma longa (turmeric)
Lineage: Eukaryota; Viridiplantae; Streptophyta; Magnoliopsida; Zingiberales; Zingiberaceae
Description: partial 18S ribosomal RNA
Source: RNAcentral
GUCGUACAAGGUUUCCGUAGGUGAACCUGCGGAAGGAUCAUUGUUG